GUCUUGCUCUGGGGGCUGUGUAAAUCAGCACCGGUGGUGAAAGUCCACGAGCGCUCGCCCAAUGGCGAGGGUUGAGCUGGUGAAAUUCCAGCACCGACGGUAAAAGUCCGGAUGGGAAGAGCCUUAG
This is a regulatory RNA element of Mobiluncus mulieris ATCC 35239, 127 nucleotides long. It matches the Rfam family "FMN riboswitch aptamer (RFN element)". From Rfam's summary of the family: The RFN element is a highly conserved domain that is found frequently in the 5'-untranslated regions of prokaryotic mRNAs that encode for flavin mononucleotide (FMN) biosynthesis and transport proteins. This element is a metabolite-dependent riboswitch that directly binds FMN in the absence of proteins. In Bacillus subtilis, the riboswitch most likely controls gene expression by causing premature transcription termination within the 5' untranslated region of the ribDEAHT operon and precluding access to the ribosome-binding site of ypaA mRNA. The record is from Rfam. NCBI's taxonomy places the organism in Bacteria, Bacillati, Actinomycetota, Actinomycetes, Actinomycetales, Actinomycetaceae.